Molecule: long non-coding RNA, 161 nt
Organism: Lytechinus variegatus (green sea urchin)
Lineage: Eukaryota; Metazoa; Echinodermata; Echinoidea; Temnopleuroida; Toxopneustidae
Exons: 3
Source: RefSeq, a predicted model, not a curated record
GGAUGAGGCUUCAACCUCAAAAAAAGAUGUGAGAAAGAGGGUUGGGAAAGCUGAUAGAUCUGCUACAUGUAUGGCAGAGCUUCUAAAGAAGAAAAAGACUGAAGACCAGCGGAACCAUGAAGCACACACAACAAGAAAAUUUCCCUGCACUUCCAUGGGCC